AAAGUCGUAACAAGGUUUCCGUAGGUGAACCUGCGGAAGGAUCAUUAACUAAAUCCGCACACAACAUGUGUGCAUAAACCUUGUGAAUAGCCCCUCGGGGACGUUGGAUGCCAACGAUCUAUAUCUUAGAGUCUGAAUUUUUUAAAAUAUUAAAAAACAACUUUUAACAAUGGAUCUCUAGGCUCUU
Molecule: unclassified non-coding RNA, 187 nt
Filed under: fungal sp.
Lineage: Eukaryota; Fungi
Description: partial contains small subunit ribosomal RNA, internal transcribed spacer 1, and 5.8S ribosomal RNA
Rfam family: Eukaryotic small subunit ribosomal RNA (bases 1-47)
Source: RNAcentral